GUAACAUGGAUUGCUUGCAAUCUGAUGACGAGUGGCGCACGGGUGCGUAACGCGUAUGCAAUCUACCUUUUACAGGAGAAUAGCCCAGAGAAAUUUGGAAUAAUGCUCCAUAAUAUCAUUUAUCAGCAUUGGUUUAUGAUUAAAGCUCCGGCGGUAAAAGAUGAGCAUGCGUUCUAUUAGCUAGUAGGUGAGGUAACGGCUCACCUAGGCUACGAUAGAUAGGGGCCCUGAGAGGGGGAUCCCCCACACUGGUACUGAGACACGGACCAGGCUCCUACGGGAGGCAGCAGUGAGGAAUAUUGGACAAUGGAGGAAACUCUGAUCCAGCCAUGCCGCGUGCAGGAUGACUGCCCUAUGGGUUGUAAACUGCUUUUAUAUAGGAAGAAACACUCCCGCGUGUGGGGGCUUGACGGUACUAUAUGAAUAAGGAUCGGCUAACUCCGUGCCAGCAGCCGCGGUAAUACGGAGGAUCCAAGCGUUAUCCGGAAUCAUUGGGUUUAAAGGGUCCGCGGGCGGCCUGUUAAGUCAGAGGUGAAAUCCUACAGCUCGACUGUAGAACUGCCUUUGAUACUGAUAGGCUUGAGUUAUUGUGAAGUGGUUAGAAUGUGUGGUGUAGCGGUGAAAUGCUUAGAUAUCACACAGAAUACCCAUUGCGAAGGCAGAUCACUAACAAUAUACUGACGCUCAUGGACGAAAGCGUGGGGAGCGAACGGGAUUAGAUACCCCGGUAGUCCACGCCGUAAACGAUGGAUACUAACUGUUCGACCUUCGGGUUGAGUGGUCAAGCGAAAGUGAUAAGUAUCC
This 804-nucleotide ribosomal RNA is filed under the name uncultured marine bacterium. RNAcentral describes it as "bacterial SSU rRNA". It matches the Rfam family "Bacterial small subunit ribosomal RNA", at positions 69 to 869 of the family's 1533-position model. The record is from RNAcentral.